AUUGAACGCUGGCGGCAUGCCUUACACAUGCAAGUCGAACGGUAACAGGUCUUCGGAUGCUGACGAGUGGCGAACGGGUGAGUAAUACAUCGGAACGUGCCUAGUAGUGGGGGAUAACUACUCGAAAGAGUGGCUAAUACCGCAUGAGAUCUACGGAUGAAAGCAGGGGAUCGCAAGACCUUGUGCUACUAGAGCGGCCGAUGGCAGAUUAGGUAGUUGGUGGGAUAAAAGCUUACCAAGCCGACGAUCUGUAGCUGGUCUGAGAGGACGAUCAGCCACACUGGGACUGAGAAACGGCCCAGACUCCUACGGGAGGCAGCAGUGGGGAAUUUUGGACAAUGGGCGCAAGCCUGAUCCAGCAAUGCCGCGUGCAGGAUGAAGGCCUUCGGGUUGUAAACUGCUUUUGUACGGAACGAAACGCGCUGAGCUAAUACCUCGGCGUAAUGACGGUACCGUAAGAAUAAGCACCGGCUAACUACGUGCCAGCCGCCGCCGUAA
Molecule: ribosomal RNA, 498 nt
Filed under: uncultured bacterium
Lineage: Bacteria
Description: partial 16S ribosomal RNA
Rfam family: Bacterial small subunit ribosomal RNA
Source: RNAcentral